GGCUUAAAUGUUGGGAACUCAUUCCUUUUCCUAGCUGCCUUCAAAUUCUCAGGCAGGCUCUUCACAAUGAUUACAUCCUUUUUAAGUGAUGCAAUAAACUGGUCCUCAUCAUAGAGAUAGGAAAAACUCUUGAAUUUGUUACUAAUGCCUUUUGACCGAAGACUUUCUUGAAUCUCUGGAAUGACAAGAGUCGCAUUUAGAAGCCGAAGAUCUUAUCUUCUCAAAUCCACCAAA
This 234-nucleotide unclassified non-coding RNA is filed under the name Hevea brasiliensis (rubber tree). The record is from RNAcentral. Lineage: Eukaryota; Viridiplantae; Streptophyta; Magnoliopsida; Malpighiales; Euphorbiaceae.